AACGUUUUGUUUGGCUCAACUAGCGCUGUCGCAACCGGAAAACUGUCAGGCCAGUGCUGCUGCGGAUGUGAGAAACCGGUGAUCCGAAGGCGGAGUGGCGCUGGGCGCUGGACUCGCUGGUGUGAAAAUCUGGCUGCUCUAGGACCCGGCAAGCGCGGGCACCAGGCGAACGCCAGCGACUUUGCCAGACAAAUGCAUGUCUUUUUUGGUCGCCAUUCAAAGAUGCAGCCGGCAGUCAGCCCCGGCUCUGAGAAACAAGUGGAGGUGUCAGCCAUAAACCCUCCGUUCAGGGAAAAGAGAGUCGCUGCGACGGAUCGACUGGCCGUUGGGUGGAACUUUCUUUGGUGGCCUAGUGACUAGAAAAUAAAAACGAAAACGAAAUAAAAAACUGCUACUGACAUUACUCCCACGCUCCCUCCUCAAGUCAGUGGCUUCAGGCUUAAGAAAACCUGUAUUUUUCUUGGCUGAUCCGUGAUCCCUAAUUACUGAGGGCCCCGCGACCCACCAAGUGCGAUUCGCAGAGGGAAAGGAGCUGGAAUAAGGAUCCAGAAUGGGACGGAUUUGGCUCCUCCAGGAAGAAAGCAAAACAAAUGCAGGUCGCGAACACUUUACAUUGCAGGAAGCUGCUCUUCCAGUGGCCGCGGCUGGGUCCUUCCACACCACCUCUCUGUCCUAGGCCUUCGUCCCGGUUCAGCCCUCACGGAUUCUAGGCUAGCGGUCAACAACCGCAUCCCUCCGGAACCUGGAAACUCUAGGUCCGAGAUCUCGGUGAAGAAUGAAAGGCACAGCGCCGCUCAACCCAGGCUUCAGGCCUGCCCCGCUGGUCCCGUCCCUUCCCUGUGGGAUGGAACUCUGUGGGAAUCGCUCCUUAUUCUGAUGGUUCACUCAUUCAGAUGUCCUUGAUAUUUGGGGAUAUUUCUAAAACAGCUGGGGAGAAAAAUGGACUGCGAGGCUCCGGUGUUGGACGUGAAAUUGGCAGUGAGACAUCCGCCUCUAAGCCCAGGGAAAAGCUUAAAUUGUGGUUCUCUGUCUCUAGCACCGUGAUCUUUGAAAUGCGUUAUUGAUUUUCUUCUUUCUUCUGGGAAAUGCAAUGCAGGUGAACUUUACUAUCCUUUUCUGGGGGAUCCUAGGCAGAAGCGAUG
This 1142-nucleotide long non-coding RNA is filed under the name Homo sapiens (human). RNAcentral's name for it is "HSALNT0326280". The record is from RNAcentral. Lineage: Eukaryota; Metazoa; Chordata; Mammalia; Primates; Hominidae.